CUAUCUUAGUCUUGGGCAAAGCCACUAGCAGCCAUGUUCUUAAGCUCAUUUAGCCAUAUAAGGCAGACCGGAUAAUCAUAUUCACAGAUGACGUCAAAAGGGUUUCUAUGUCACAACAGCCGCAAGUUAAAUAUCGU
This 137-nucleotide small RNA is filed under the name Yersinia massiliensis. Its description in RNAcentral is "PepN 5' UTR thermometer". It matches the Rfam family "PepN 5' UTR thermometer". Rfam says of the family: Position upstream of pepN gene responsible for amino acid processing. Lineage: Bacteria; Pseudomonadati; Pseudomonadota; Gammaproteobacteria; Enterobacterales; Yersiniaceae. The record is from RNAcentral.